Poecile atricapillus (Black-capped chickadee) is the source of this 1096-nucleotide long non-coding RNA. RefSeq lists it as uncharacterized. NCBI's taxonomy places the organism in Eukaryota, Metazoa, Chordata, Aves, Passeriformes, Paridae. The record is from RefSeq and is a predicted model, not a curated record. The transcript has 3 exons.
AGAGGUCUUGUUCCGAGCUGUGUCAACAGCCAUGCGCCGCGAGGAUCCAUUGCUGCGGCUUAGGUCUUGAAGAAGUGCAGAGAUAGGUAGGGGACUGUGGCCCUCAGAUUCUCGGGCAUCCCUCUUGGCAGUUGCUGGAGUUUGUCAUUCCGUCAGCAUCUUCUUCCUCCCGGGUUCUGCGAGCUUCAUCAGCUCGCCUUCAUUCUCACCCGGCUCAUCUCGUUCCGCGUUCUCUCGGUCCUUGCGGCCGUUCUUGUGGCCCAGAGUUUUGUCUCCCCGUUGUGUCCUCUCGUCUGUUGUCUUGUGUGUCACGGGUGUCUGGGUGUAGUUGUCCCGGAGCUGCUCUGCCCUGCUGCCCAGCCUGGAUGUAGGUGUAAAAGGCCGAGUCCUAGGCCCCUGUAAUUUGAAAUUUGUCAUGUAGGGUGUAGUUGGAGUCUAGAGGGUGUUCCUAGAUUGACACAAGAUGUCUGGAGCUGUGAAGUUACCCUGCAGCACUUUGACUUUUGUCUCAGCUUUCUUUCAGAUGCGGACGGAUGAAAUCGGUGGCAGAGUGCCCCAUCCAGGGUAAGGGGGUUCCCGCGAGAAGGUAAGUCAAUGUUUGUCUUUGCAGGGCAACUGGAACCGGUCACUGUGUGACAGGUCUCCUCUUUGUCUUUAUUUUUAGGAAGUAGAGCCAGCUGGCAGCAGUCAAGGCGAAGUGGGCAAGGCGGUCCAGUCGCGUUUCGCUGAGACGUCCUUGCCAACCGGCCGGCACAGCUGCUUCACCGCUCCCGUGAGCCCAGCGGAAGCGUUAUGGAACCGUGUGACGGAGCCUUUUCCACGUAGAGGGGCCAUGUGGGUGGCCUUCAGGAACGGGCCGAGGGGUUGCCGUGAGUUGGGGAUGUCGGGAGGAGGAGCGAGGGUCCCUUUGAGUUUCAGCAAUGCCGCAUCACUUUGUCUUCUCUUAACUCAGGCGCGCCCUGUGACGACGGCGUCCGGCUCCCAGCGUGGCCGAAGCGCGCGGCCUCAGGAUGUGGCCGUGCGCAGGAGACCCUGACCGAGAGACGGCAGCCUGGCGAUGGCAGGAACUUCCCAGAUGGCAAGGCGGCCUUCCUUG